GGGCUCAGACACGGAGCACAGCAUGCCCCACUAAAGGACAUCCCGGGGGGACAAAGCAAGGGACACCUGACAACCCACCCAGCCUGUCACCUGCCAUGCAGGGACUCCACCACCUGCAGAAGAUAAGGCCCAGCCAGUUUUGCUUUGGCAGGAUCCAUCCACACCCUGAAAUAAGGAGCAGGAGGAUAUGAAAUCCAGAUGACAGGAGGACCCACAUCUGCUACUCCAUGGCAAGGUUGCAAACUGGGCUCAUGUUCGGCCUGUGUCAAGCACUGGGCCAACUGGCAGAAGAACAGGGUGGAAUUAGAAAACAUUUCCUAGCACAGGAGCUGCAGAGCAGGGACUGAUGAUGGGCAGGAAGGAGCACACCUUGUUAUGGACAACUCAGAAAAUGAGCUGUGGAUCCCCACUUGCUGGCAUAUUUGUGGAACCUCUCUGUGUCUGGGAGCUGUGAGCCUGUACUGCUUUGGUGUGUAACUCUGAAGUCCAUACAGAGUGUCAGCUGCUGUCUUCACAUUUUGGUCAGACGAAACAAUCCCUCUGGGCCUGAAACUCAAGGGCACCCUACAGCUUCAGGCCCUAAAAUGUAUGAACAAAAGUGAGUUGGGGAGGAGCAAACUGGGGGAACAUGACUUCAUUACCUGAAGCUGUAAUUGGAGGAUUAACCCCGAUAUGUGAAUGGACCAAACUUAUAAUUGCCUGAAAAACUCAUGACCAUUGUCCAUCCUGGGUGUAGCCCCUUGGGGAAGCUUCACCUGCCCUUAAUGUACCUGAAGGCCCUUCAGUAAAUAU
Long non-coding RNA from Haemorhous mexicanus (house finch), 792 nucleotides. RefSeq lists it as uncharacterized. NCBI's taxonomy places the organism in Eukaryota, Metazoa, Chordata, Aves, Passeriformes, Fringillidae. The record is from RefSeq and is a predicted model, not a curated record. The transcript is spliced from 3 exons.